UCUCGGGGGCAUGUGCACACCAACCAUCCUCAUCUCUCCACCUGUGCACCUCUUGUAGACCUGAAUUGACUUUCCGAGGCAACUCGGUCGGGAAGAUUGCUGUGCUCUGUGAGCCAGCUUUCUUUGCAUGUCUAGGCCUAUGUUUUUCAUAUACCCCUAUAGAAUGUAACAGAAUGUAUCAUUGGGCCUUGUGCCUAUAAACCUUAUACAACUUUCAGCAACGGAUCUCUUGGCUCUCGCAUCGAUGAAGAACGCAGCGAAAUGCGAUAAGUAAUGUGAAUUGCAGAAUUCAGUGAAUCAUCGAAUCUUUGAACGCACCUUGCGCUCCUUGGUAUUCCGAGGAGCAUGCCUGUUUGAGUGUCAUUAAAUUCUCAACCUUAUUAACUUUUGUUGAUAAUGGAUUGGAUUGUGGGGGUUUCUUUUGCUGGAUUCUUCACAGAGAUCAGCUCCCCUUAAAUGCAUUAGCUGGUGCCCCGCGUGGACCAUCUAUUGGUGUGAUAAUUAUCUACGCCGUGGAUGUCUGCAAUCAUAUGGGUUUUGCACUGCUUCUAACCGUCUGUUCAUUCGGACAAUACAUGACAAUUUGACCUCAAAUCAGGUAGGACUACCCGCUGAACUUAAGCAUAUCAAUAAGCGGAGGAAAAGAAACUAACAAGGAUUCCCCUAGUAACUGCGAGUGAAGCGGGAAAAGCUCAAAUUUAAAAUCUGGCGGUCUCCGGCCGUCCGAGUUGUAAUCUAGAGAAGUGUUAUCCGCGCUGGACCGUGUACAAGGUCUCCUGA
This 780-nucleotide ribosomal RNA is filed under the name uncultured Alnicola. Its description in RNAcentral is "eukaryotic LSU rRNA". The stretch from base 210 to 363 matches the Rfam family "5.8S ribosomal RNA". Lineage: Eukaryota; Fungi; Basidiomycota; Agaricomycetes; Agaricales; Cortinariaceae. The record is from RNAcentral.